Molecule: ribosomal RNA, 793 nt
Filed under: uncultured bacterium
Lineage: Bacteria
Description: bacterial SSU rRNA
Rfam family: Bacterial small subunit ribosomal RNA
Source: RNAcentral
AGAGUUUGAUCAUGGCUCAGAUUGAACGCUGGCGGCAUGCCUUACACAUGCAAGUCGAACGGUAACGCGGGGCAACCUGGCGACGAGUGGCGAACGGGUGAGUAAUACAUCGGAACGUGCCCAGUAGUGGGGGAUAGCCCGGCGAAAGCCGGAUUAAUACCGCAUACGACCUACGGGUGAAAGCGGGGGAUCGCAAGACCUCGCGCUAUUGGAGCGGCCGAUGUCAGAUUAGCUAGUUGGUGGGGUAAAAGCCUACCAAGGCGACGAUCUGUAGCUGGUCUGAGAGGACGACCAGCCACACUGGGACUGAGACACGGCCCAGACUCCUACGGGAGGCAGCAGUGGGGAAUUUUGGACAAUGGGGGCAACCCUGAUCCAGCCAUGCCGCGUGCGGGAAGAAGGCCUUCGGGUUGUAAACCGCUUUUGUCAGGGAAGAAACGGUCUGCGCUAAUACCGCGGACUAAUGACGGUACCUGAAGAAUAAGCACCGGCUAACUACGUGCCAGCAGCCGCGGUAAUACGUAGGGUGCAAGCGUUAAUCGGAAUUACUGGGCGUAAAGCGUGCGCAGGCGGCUUUGCAAGACAGAUGUGAAAUCCCCGGGCUCAACCUUGGAAUUGCCUUUGAUACUGGAUGUCUUGAGUUCGGGAGAGGUGAGUGGAAUGCCGAGUGUAGAGGUGAAAUUCGUAGAUAUUCGGCGGAACACCAGUGGCGAAGGCGACUCACUGGCCCGAUACUGACGCUGAGGCGCGAAAGCGUGGGGAGCAAACAGGAUUAGAUACCCCGGUAGUCCAA